AGACGGUACAGAAUGAAUCUUGGAGGAGCAGUGCCUGCUGGUGCUCCAAGUGAACCACGUGUAGAUAUGCACAACCUUCAGUUUCCUGCCCU
Molecule: unclassified non-coding RNA, 92 nt
Organism: Bison bison bison
Lineage: Eukaryota; Metazoa; Chordata; Mammalia; Artiodactyla; Bovidae
Source: Ensembl